This 71-nucleotide transfer RNA is filed under the name Ptychadena mascareniensis (Masarene ridged frog). Its description in RNAcentral is "tRNA-Val". It matches the Rfam family "tRNA". From Rfam's summary of the family: Transfer RNA (tRNA) molecules are approximately 80 nucleotides in length. Their secondary structure includes four short double-helical elements and three loops (D, anti-codon, and T loops). The record is from RNAcentral. Lineage: Eukaryota; Metazoa; Chordata; Amphibia; Anura; Ptychadenidae.
CAAAAUGUAGCUUAACCUUAAAGCUCCUCGCUUACACCGAGGCAAUACCUGUUCAAUUCAGGUCAUUUUGA